GAUGAACGCUAGCGACAGGCCUAAACAUGCAAGUCGAGGGGCAGCACAUGAGUAGCAAUACGAUGGUGGCGACCGGCGCACGGGUGAGUAACACGUAUGCAACCUGCCUGUAAGCGGGGGAUAACCCGGAGAAAUUCGGACUAAUACCGCAUAAUACUGUGAAUUUGCAUGAAUUUCCAGUUAAAUAUUUAUAGCUUACAGAUGGGCAUGCGUAUGAUUAGAUAGUUGGUAGGGUAACGGCCUACCAAGUCAACGAUCAUUAGGGGUUCUGAGAGGAAGGUCCCCCACACUGGUACUGAGACACGGACCAGACUCCUACGGGAGGCAGCAGUGAGGAAUAUUGGUCAAUGGGCGAGAGCCUGAACCAGCCAAGUCGCGUGAAGGAAGACGGUUCUAUGAAUUGUAAACUUCUUUUGUAGAGGAAUAAAGUGGGUUACGUGUAGCCUUUUGUAUGUACUUUACGAAUAAGGAUCGGCUAACUCCGUG
RNAcentral lists this ribosomal RNA (486 nucleotides) under uncultured bacterium. RNAcentral's name for it is "bacterial SSU rRNA". It matches the Rfam family "Bacterial small subunit ribosomal RNA", at positions 28 to 507 of the family's 1533-position model. The record is from RNAcentral.